AACGAACGCUGGCGGCAUGCCUAACACAUGCAAGUCGAACGAGACCUUCGGGUCUAGUGGCGCACGGGUGCGUAACGCGUGGGAACCUGCCCUUAGGUUCGGAAUAACUCCCCGAAAGGGGUGCUAAUACCGGAUAAUGUCUUCGGACCAAAGAUUUAUCGCCUUUGGAUGGGCCCGCGUUGGAUUAGCUAGUUGGUAGGGUAAAAGCCUACCAAGGCGACGAUCCAUAGCUGGUCUGAGAGGAUGAUCAGCCACACUGGGACUGAGACACGGCCCAGACGGCAAGGGGAAGCAGCGGGGGAGAAAAGAGGACGAGGGGCAACGGCCAGAGGCAGCAUUGGCGCGUGAGUGAUGAAGGCCGUAGGGUUGAAAAGCUCUUGACGCGGGGAGGAUAAAGACAUGGGGGGAAGAAUAAGCUCCGGCAAACUCAGCGCCAGCAGGCGGGGGAAUGGUCGAAGAACACACGUGUGACC
RNAcentral lists this ribosomal RNA (473 nucleotides) under uncultured bacterium. Its description in RNAcentral is "partial 16S ribosomal RNA". It matches the Rfam family "Bacterial small subunit ribosomal RNA", at positions 33 to 541 of the family's 1533-position model. The record is from RNAcentral.